UCAUAACCGUGCGAAGGUAGCGUAAUCACUUGUCUUUUAAAUGGAGACCUGUAUGAAUGGCACCACGAGGGUUUAACUGUCUCCUUCCCCCAGUCAAUGAAAUUGAUCUGCCCGUGCAGAAGCGGACAUAACAACAUAAGACGAGAAGACCCUAUGGAGCUUUAGGCUAAAGGCCCAAACAUGUAAAGAAAUUUCACAUUAAACAAAAGGAACAAAGCAAAUUUAAACUCAAUGUAUUAAUGACCACAUGCCUUCGGUUGGGGCGACCACGGGGGAAAACAAAGCCCCCGAAUGGAACGAAAACAUCUUCCUAAACCAAGAAACACAUUUCCAAGUAACAGAAAAUCUGACCAAACAUGACCCGGGACAAACAAACCCGAUCAAUGAACCAAGUUACCCUAGGGAUAACAGCGCAAUCCUUUCCCAGAGUCCCUAUCGACGAAAGGGUUUACGACCUCGAUGUUGGAUCAGGACAUCCUAAUGGUGAAGCCGCUA
Molecule: ribosomal RNA, 495 nt
Filed under: Ophisurus macrorhynchos
Lineage: Eukaryota; Metazoa; Chordata; Actinopteri; Anguilliformes; Ophichthidae
Description: partial 16S ribosomal RNA
Rfam family: Bacterial large subunit ribosomal RNA
Source: RNAcentral